This 512-nucleotide ribosomal RNA is filed under the name uncultured Glomus. RNAcentral describes it as "SSU rRNA". It matches the Rfam family "Eukaryotic small subunit ribosomal RNA", at positions 546 to 1064 of the family's 1831-position model. Lineage: Eukaryota; Fungi; Glomeromycota; Glomeromycetes; Glomerales; Glomeraceae. The record is from RNAcentral.
CUUCGGAGUGCAAGUCUGGUGCCAGCAGCCGCGGUAAUUCCAGCUCCAAUAGCGUAUAUUAAAGUUGUUGCAGUUAAAAAGCUCGUAGUUGAAUUUCGGGACUAAUAUGUCGGUCGUACUUUGUACGUACUAGCAUUAUUGGUUUCUCCCUUCUGACGAACCACGAUGUCAUUAAUUUGGUGUCGUGGGAAAUCAGGACUGUUACUUUGAAAAAAUUAGAGUGUUUAAAGCAAGCUCGCGCUUGAAUACAUUAGCAUGGAAUAAUGAAAUAGGACGUUUGAUUCUAUUUUGUUGGUUUCUAGGAUCGACGUAAUGAUUAAUAGGGAUAGUUGGGGGCAUUAGUAUUCAAUUGUCAGAGGUGAAAUUCUUGGAUUUAUUGAAGACUAACUACUGCGAAAGCAUUUGCCAAGGAUGUUUUCAUUAAUCAAGAACGAAAGUUAGGGGAUCGAAGACGAUCAGAUACCGUCGUAGUCUUAACCAUAAACUAUGCCGACUAGGGAUCGGAUGAUGUU